Molecule: ribosomal RNA, 392 nt
Filed under: uncultured bacterium
Lineage: Bacteria
Description: partial 16S ribosomal RNA
Rfam family: Bacterial small subunit ribosomal RNA
Source: RNAcentral
AUACGGAGGAUCCGAGCGUUAUCCGGAUUUAUUGGGUUUAAAGGGAGCGCAGGCGGAGAUGCAAGCGUGACGUCAAAUUUCGGGGCUCAACCCCGUCUCGCGUCGCGAACUGCGUCCCUUGGUUGCGGGAAGGGGAGGCGGAACUCGUGGUGUAGCGGGGAAAUGCAUAGAUAUCACGAAGAACUCCGAUCGCGAAGGCAGCCUUCCGGCCCGUCAACGACGCUCAUGCUCGAAGGUGCGGGUAUCAAACAGGAUUAGAUACCCUGGUAGUCCACGCAGUAAACGAUGAUAACUAACCGCUGGUGCGCAAGUAUCAGUGGCCAAGCGAAAGCGAUAAGUUAUCCACCUGGGGAGUACGACCGCAAGGUUGAAACUCAAAGGAAUUGACGGGG